Molecule: long non-coding RNA, 628 nt
Filed under: Helianthus annuus (common sunflower)
Lineage: Eukaryota; Viridiplantae; Streptophyta; Magnoliopsida; Asterales; Asteraceae
Description: hypothetical non coding rna
Source: RNAcentral
UUCACCGCUGCUCUACCUCAAAUCCACUACCUUCGCCAAAUUCCAGUCUACGUAUCUCAAAAGGAUUGAAGUUCCGAUGCGUUUAUGAAAGAUAACAACGUCGUUGUUCGGCAUCUGAGUUCGAUUCAUUCUCCAUUCACCGGUAAUUUCAGUUCAAAGAACAUCAUGGAAACUGGAAAGCCCAACGAGGGUUGACCGACUGUUAAAGGCCAGCCUAAAUUGGACGGUUGACGUGAGAAGAAUGAGAUUAACUGGCUGUGUGUAGAAUGUGUAGGUUUCGCUUUGGUUACAGUGGUAAGCAUGCAUUUAUUGUUUAUAAUGCUAGACAUCAUCCCACAGCUUCAAACCUUUUUGUAAUCCAAGCUUUAUGUUUUAGACAUGGUUUUGUAAAAAGCAUAAAAAAACACUUAAAAUGAUGGUUAUGUUGUACCUUUUGUGACUUAAUAGAAACCAAAUACCCCGCCCGCGGCGGGUAAUUCUCUAGUUGUAUAUGUUUGGUGGUCGAAAUAUGAACAUGUAAACUUUUAACUUUAACUUAAAAGAAGGAAAAUUAUCAUUGUGUCAAUAUAGACCAGUCAUACUUCGUUUUCUAUUAAGGUUUUAAAACACCAUGGAAAAGCACGUUAGA